UGGGGACUGGUCCCUGGGCCUGGUGGGAUCCCUGGAUUGUGCACAACAGGCUGGGCUGGUGCAGAGAUCUCUAUGGAUAUGGGAUUCCCCUCUGCCACUCCUGUGUGAGAAUGGAGCUGGCAGCUCCUUCUCUCAAGGCCAGAUGCAUUUCCCUUUCUUGUUACUGCAAAGAUUCUUCAGCUGGGCGCCGGGCUGGGGAAAAGAGACUUUCCAGCUUUUCUCGAAGUCACUCUGACCAGCAGAGAUCCUGACACGGCUCUGGUGGAGCUGAGAGCCCCCGCAGGGCUGCUUGGAGCUCGGGGGCUCCUUCUCUGCCCGAACUCCUCGGCUUUGCUGCAGGUGAAUGUCCCUGCCCGGAGCCCCCUCCCCAGUUCCAGCUGAACGCUGUGAAACGCAGCGGGGGCGGAGGGAAAAAUCCCAAACAACAACUGGACGCUGCCAGAGGAUGCAGCAGGCGGCUCGGAACAGAAAUGGCCAAGCGCUGCCAGCAGCCAGGGGCUUGUUGGUGGCACAGAUCCGCGGGGAGCAAAGAAAGGCUGUGUGCCAGCUGAGCCCAGCGCUGCCCCGCUGCCUCCUCCUCGGUGCUUUCCAGUAAAUCUCUUAAAAUAACUGGAAUAAAUCAAUAACUGCA
This is a long non-coding RNA of Agelaius phoeniceus (red-winged blackbird), 631 nucleotides long. RefSeq lists it as uncharacterized. The record is from RefSeq and is a predicted model, not a curated record. Lineage: Eukaryota; Metazoa; Chordata; Aves; Passeriformes; Icteridae.